RNAcentral lists this ribosomal RNA (1231 nucleotides) under uncultured Acinetobacter sp. RNAcentral describes it as "bacterial SSU rRNA". It matches the Rfam family "Bacterial small subunit ribosomal RNA", at positions 202 to 1408 of the family's 1533-position model. Lineage: Bacteria; Pseudomonadati; Pseudomonadota; Gammaproteobacteria; Moraxellales; Moraxellaceae. The record is from RNAcentral.
GAAAGCAGGGGAUCUUCGGACCUUGCGCUAAUAGAUGAGCCUAAGUCGGAUUAGCUAGUUGGUGGGGUAAAGGCCUACCAAGGCGACGAUCUGUAGCGGGUCUGAGAGGAUGAUCCGCCACACUGGGACUGAGACACGGCCCAGACUCCUACGGGAGGCAGCAGUGGGGAAUAUUGGACAAUGGGCGGAAGCCUGAUCCAGCCAUGCCGCGUGUGUGAAGAAGGCCUUUUGGUUGUAAAGCACUUUAAGCGAGGAGGAGGCUCCUUUAGUUAAUACCUAAAGAGAGUGGACGUUACUCGCAGAAUAAGCACCGGCUAACUCUGUGCCAGCAGCCGCGGUAAUACAGAGGGUGCGAGCGUUAAUCGGAUUUACUGGGCGUAAAGCGUGCGUAGGCGGCUUUUUAAGUCGGAUGUGAAAUCCCUGAGCUUAACUUAGGAAUUGCAUUCGAUACUGGAAAGCUAGAGUAUGGGAGAGGAUGGUAGAAUUCCAGGUGUAGCGGUGAAAUGCGUAGAGAUCUGGAGGANAUACCGAUGGCGAAGGCAGCCAUCUGGCCUAAUACUGACGCUGAGGUACGAAAGCAUGGGGAGCAAACAGGAUUAGAUACCCUGGUAGUCCAUGCCGUAAACGAUGUCUACUAGCCGUUGGGGCCUUUGAGGCUUUAGUGGCGCAGCUAACGCGAUAAGUAGACCGCCUGGGGANGNNUANCGGUCGCAAGACUAAAACUCAAAUGAAUUGACGGGGGCCCGCACAAGCGGUGGAGCAUGUGGUUUAAUUCGAUGCAACGCGAAGAACCUUACCUGGCCUUGACAUACUAAGAACUUUCCAGAGAUGGAUUGGUGCCUUCGGGAACUUAGAUACAGGUGCUGCAUGGCUGUCGUCAGCUCGUGUCGUGAGAUGUUGGGUUAAGUCCCGCAACGAGCGCAACCCUUUUCCUUAUUUGCCAGCGGGUUAAGCCGGGAACUUUAAGGAUACUGCCAGUGACAAACUGGAGGAAGGCGGGGACGACGUCAAGUCAUCAUGGCCCUUACGGCCAGGGCUACACACGUGCUACAACGGUCGGUACAAAGGGUUGCUACCUCGCGAGAGGAUGCUAAUCUCAAAAAGCCGAUCGUAGUCCGGAUCGCAGUCUGCAACUCGACCGCGUGAAGUCGGAAUCGCUAGUAAUCGCGGAUCAGAAUGCCGCGGUGAAUACGUUCCCGGGCCUUGUACACACCGCCCGUCACACCAUGGG